RNAcentral lists this transfer RNA (71 nucleotides) under Marmota monax (woodchuck). Its description in RNAcentral is "tRNA.Ala". It matches the Rfam family "tRNA". Rfam says of the family: Transfer RNA (tRNA) molecules are approximately 80 nucleotides in length. Their secondary structure includes four short double-helical elements and three loops (D, anti-codon, and T loops). Further hydrogen bonds mediate the characteristic L-shaped molecular structure. tRNAs have two regions of fundamental functional importance: the anti-codon, which is responsible for specific mRNA codon recognition, and the 3' end, to which the tRNAs corresponding amino acid is attached (by aminoacyl-tRNA synthetases). tRNAs cope with the degeneracy of the genetic code in two manners: having more than one tRNA (with a specific anti-codon) for a particular amino acid; and 'wobble' base-pairing, i.e. permitting non-standard base-pairing at the 3rd anti-codon position. Lineage: Eukaryota; Metazoa; Chordata; Mammalia; Rodentia; Sciuridae. The record is from RNAcentral.
GAGGUUGUAGCUCAGAGGUAGAGCGCUUGCCUGGCAUGCAUGAGGCACUGGGUUCAAUCCUCAGCACCACA